AGCUGGGAAGUAAUUUUUGUGUAGAAGAAUUUCCAUAAGUUUUUCUUCAAAGCUCUCUUUGCUGAGAGAACAUCUUAUGUCUUGUAACAUUCUAUUUCAAAGUUUGAAUGCAUAUUCUGUUUAUGUUAUCUUACUCUCUGUACGUGAUUUUGAAAACAUAACUGCAACCACACCAGAGGUCCAAAUGGUACGUUUUAUAUGUCAUAUGAAAGAUAUUUGAGUCUACUUUCCAUGAAAAAAAACCUCAUCUCAUUUAGAGUUCUGUAGAAAAAGUUAUGGGUAAAACAUUGAGCAAAGGUCAGAGCUGUCCAGUUUUCGGAUUUUUGUGUUUUGGGUGUUUCUGUACGCGAUUUUAAAAAAAUAACUGCAACCACACCAGAGGUCCAAAUGCUACGUUUUAUAUGUCAUAUGAAAGAUAAUUGAGUCUAUUUUCCAUGAAAAAAAACCUCAUCUCAUUUAGAGCUCUGUAGAAAAAGUUAUGGGUAAAACAUUGAGCAAAGGUCAGAGCUGUCUAGAAAGGAAUGGGUAUCACGUUUUCUUGUGUUUGAAUGAAGGGAAAAUAUUUUCUUAUCAUUUUGCUUCUUGUGCAGUAAAAAAUGAAUAAUCUUUUCUAGAAUUUCUUUGGGUUCUCACGGUUUUCACUUUUAUUUGGUCAAGCAAAAUAUUUUUCUUUUCUUUUAAGAUCAUUCAUGUGCUCACGGUUUCAACUUCUUGAAAGCAAAGUUCAUGUUUCUUUUCUUCAAUUUAUUUUAUGAAAAGUAAUUGUUUUUCUAGAAGAAGUGGGGUAAUGGCUGAAAAAUUUCCUUGACUUGGAUGGACACAAAUACAUUGGUAAGAGACAAAAGACACUUCCAAAUUCUUCUUAACAUGACUCAUGGUGGGACUUGGUGAUGAGAUGUUCCUUUGCCUAAUUGACUAAAAGAAAUGAAAAUACUAAAUGAUGGUGCAAGGUUAUGAGGUAAAUUCUAAAAUUGAUGCAAUCUUAAUUAAUGAAACACUGAGAACUCCAUAAGUCAUGAACAAAGAAAAUUAAUUUGUAGCAUUUUCAGUUUCUUUAAACACUUGGUGACAUGAAAAUAAAAAAAAAAGAAUUUAUUUCUGUUUUUAAUUUAUUUUACUGAGUUUGUUGAGUUUGUUUUUAAUUUAGUAUAGUAUUUUCCGUGUUUUUAAUAAUGUUUGGUUGUAUUUAAUUCCAAUUUUAAUUUAGUUUAAUUUUUUUUCUUGCCAUUUAAUUUUGCUGCAAUUUUAAUUUUUGUAUUACCAUUUAAUUCUUGCCAUUUAAUUUCAGUUUUACAGUUUUUUGUAUUUUCUAUUUUGCUGUAUUCUAUUUCUUUUACUAUUUCUGUCUCUAAAUUCCUUUAUUUUAUUUUCUAUUUCUUUUAAUAUUUCUGUAUUAAUUGAAUUUCUGUCUCUAAAUUCCUUUAUUUUCUGUACUGUUAUUUUAAUUUCUGUUAUACUGUUUUU
This 1464-nucleotide long non-coding RNA is filed under the name Vigna radiata. RNAcentral's name for it is "long non-coding RNA (VRAD_LNC011432)". Lineage: Eukaryota; Viridiplantae; Streptophyta; Magnoliopsida; Fabales; Fabaceae. The record is from RNAcentral.